RNAcentral lists this ribosomal RNA (460 nucleotides) under uncultured bacterium. RNAcentral describes it as "partial 16S ribosomal RNA". It matches the Rfam family "Bacterial small subunit ribosomal RNA", at positions 338 to 795 of the family's 1533-position model. The record is from RNAcentral.
CCUACGGGUGGCAGCAGUGAGGAAUAUUGGUCAAUGGGCGAGAGCCUGAACCAGCCAAGUCGCGUGAAGGAUGAAGGAUCUAUGGUUUGUAAACUUCUUUUAUAUGGGAAUAAAGUGAGGAACGUGUUCCUUUUUGUAUUUACCAUAUGAAUAAGCGUCGGCUAACUCCGUGCCAGCGGCCGCGGUAAUACGGAGGAUGCGAGCGUUAUCCGGAUUUGAUGGGUUUAAAGGGUGCGUAGGUGGUUAAUUAAGUCAGCGGUGAAAGGUUGUGGCUCAACCAUAAAAUUGCCGUUGAAACUGGUUGACUUGAGUAUAUUUGAGGUAGGCGGAAUGCGUGGUGUAGCGGUGAAAUGCAUAGAUAUCACGCAGAACUCCGAUUGCGAAGGCAGCUUACUAAACUAUAACUGACACUGAAGCACGAAAGCGUGGGGAUCAAACAGGAUUAGAUACCCGGGUAGUC